This 618-nucleotide ribosomal RNA is filed under the name uncultured bacterium. RNAcentral's name for it is "bacterial SSU rRNA". It matches the Rfam family "Bacterial small subunit ribosomal RNA", at positions 338 to 944 of the family's 1533-position model. The record is from RNAcentral.
CCUACGGGAGGCAGCAGUAGGGAAUCUUCCGCAAUGGACGAAAGUCUGACGGAGCAACGCCGCGUGAACGAUGAAGGCCUUCGGGUCGUAAAGUUCUGUUGUUAGGGAAGAACAAGUGCUAGUUAAAUAAGCUGGCACCUUGACGGUACCUAACCAGAAAGCCACGGCUAACUACGUGCCAGCAGCCGCGGUAAUACGUAGGUGGCAAGCGUUGUCCGGAAUUAUUGGGCGUAAAGCGCGCGCAGGCGGUUUCUUAAGUCUGAUGUGAAAGCCCCCGGCUCAACCGGGGAGGGUCAUUGGAAACUGGGAAACUUGAGUGCAGAAGAGGAAAGUGGAAUUCCAAGUGUAGCGGUGAAAUGCGUAGAGAUUUGGAGGAACACCAGUGGCGAAGGCGACUUUCUGGUCUGUAACUGACGCUGAGGCGCGAAAGCGUGGGGAGCAAACAGGAUUAGAUACCCUGGUAGUCCACGCUGUAAACGAUGAGUGCUAAGUGUUAGAGGGUUUCCGCCCUUUAGUGCUGAAGUUAACGCAUUAAGCACUCCGCCUGGGGAGACGGUCGCAAGACUGAAACUCAAAGGAAUUGACGGCUUGAGAGNGCGAGCGACGACGAGGAGGAGG